This 77-nucleotide small RNA is filed under the name Yarrowia lipolytica. RNAcentral's name for it is "YALI1_C06645p". The record is from RNAcentral. Lineage: Eukaryota; Fungi; Ascomycota; Dipodascomycetes; Dipodascales.
AAGUUCGCAAGAACUGGCAGUGGAGGAACAUAUGUGGGUUUAAUUCCCAUAGCUUCUAGCUGAUCAGUGUUUUUUUG